This 1045-nucleotide ribosomal RNA is filed under the name Bacillus velezensis. Its description in RNAcentral is "bacterial SSU rRNA". It matches the Rfam family "Bacterial small subunit ribosomal RNA", at positions 428 to 1464 of the family's 1533-position model. The record is from RNAcentral. Lineage: Bacteria; Bacillati; Bacillota; Bacilli; Caryophanales; Bacillaceae.
AAGCUCUGUUGUUAGGGAAGAACAAGUGCCGUUCAAAUAGGGCGGCACUUGACGGUACCUAACCAGAAAGCCACGCUAACUACGUGCCAGCAGCCGCGGUAAUACGUAGGUGGCAAGCGUGUCCGGAAAUUAUUGGGCGUAAAGGGCUCGCAGGCGGUUUCUUAAGUCUGAUGUGAAAGCCCCCGGCUCAACCGGGGAGGGUCAUUGGAAACUGGGGAACUUGAGUGCAGAAGAGGAGAGUGGAAUUCCACGUGUAGCGGUGAAAUGCGUAGAGAUGUGGAGGAACACCAGUGGCGAAGGCGACUCUCUGGUCUGUAACUGACGCUGAGGAGCGAAAGCGUGGGGAGCGAACAGGAUUAGAUACCCUGGUAGUCCACGCCGUAAACGAUGAGUGCUAAGUGUUAGGGGGUUUCCGCCCCUUAGUGCUGCAGCUAACGCAUUAAGCACUCCGCCUGGGGAGUACGGUCGCAAGACUGAAACUCAAAGGAAUUGACGGGGGCCCGCACAAGCGGUGGAGCAUGUGGUUUAAUUCGAAGCAACGCGAAGAACCUUACCAGGUCUUGACAUCCUCUGACAAUCCUAGAGAUAGGACGUCCCCUUCGGGGGCAGAGUGACAGGUGGUGCAUGGUUGUCGUCAGCUCGUGUCGUGAGAUGUUGGGUUAAGUCCCGCAACGAGCGCAACCCUUGAUCUUAGUUGCCAGCAUUCAGUUGGGCACUCUAAGGUGACUGCCGGUGACAAACCGGAGGAAGGUGGGGAUGACGUCAAAUCAUCAUGCCCCUUAUGACCUGGGCUACACACGUGCUACAAUGGACAGAACAAAGGGCAGCGAAACCGCGAGGUUAAGCCAAUCCCACAAAUCUGUUCUCAGUUCGGAUCGCAGUCUGCAACUCGACUGCGUGAAGCUGGAAUCGCUAGUAAUCGCGGAUCAGCAUGCCGCGGUGAAUACGUUCCCGGGCCUUGUACACACCGCCCGUCACACCACGAGAGUUUGUAACACCCGAAGUCGGUGAGGUAACCUUUAUGGAGCCAGCCGCCGUAAUAGUG